AGAGUUUGAUCCUGGCUCAGGACGAACGCUGGCGGCGUGCCUAACACAUGCAAGUCGAACGGACGAGAUGGCUUCGGCCAUCGAGUUAGUGGCGGACGGGUGAGUAACGCGUGAGCAACCUGCCUUACAGAGGGGGAUAACACACGGAAACGUGUGCUAAUACCGCAUAAAUCAGGCUAAUGGCAUCAUUAGCUUGGCAAAGGAGCAAUCCGCUGUAAGAUGGGCUCGCGUCCGAUUAGAUAGUUGGCGGGGUAACGGCCCACCAAGUCUGCGAUCGGUAGCCGGACUGAGAGGUUGAUCGGCCACAUUGGGACUGAGACACGGCCCAAACUCCUACGGGAGGCAGCAGUGAGGGAUAUUGCACAAUGGGCGAAAGCCUGAUGCAGCAACGCCGCGUGAGGGAUGACGGUCUUCGGAUUGUAAACCUCUGUCCUCAGUGAAGAAAAAAAUGACGGUAGCUGAGGAGGAAGCCACGGCUAACUACGUGCCAGCAGCCGCGGUAAUACGUAGGUGGCAAGCGUUGUCCGGAAUUACUGGGUGUAAAGGGAGCGCAGGCGGGCGUGCAAGUCAGCUGUUAAAUGUCUGGGCUUAACCCGGGCAUGCGGUUGAGACCGCGGUGCUGGAGUGCUGUAGAGGCAAGUGGAAUUCCCAGUGUAGCGGUGAAAUGCGUAGAUAUUGGGAAGAACACCGGUGGCGAAGGCGACUUGCUGGGCAGCAACUGACGCUGAGGCGCGAAAGC
RNAcentral lists this ribosomal RNA (739 nucleotides) under uncultured bacterium. RNAcentral describes it as "bacterial SSU rRNA". It matches the Rfam family "Bacterial small subunit ribosomal RNA", at positions 8 to 760 of the family's 1533-position model. The record is from RNAcentral.